RNAcentral lists this small nucleolar RNA (201 nucleotides) under Anopheles maculatus. Its description in RNAcentral is "small nucleolar RNA U3". It matches the Rfam family "Small nucleolar RNA U3". From Rfam's summary of the family: Small nucleolar RNAs (snoRNAs) are involved in the processing and modification of rRNA in the nucleolus. There are two main classes of snoRNAs: the box C/D class, and the box H/ACA class. Lineage: Eukaryota; Metazoa; Arthropoda; Insecta; Diptera; Culicidae. The record is from RNAcentral.
AAGACUGUGCUUCAUAGGAUCAUUUCUAUAGGCAAGUUUUCAUUUCUACUUUCCCGAAAGUAGAGCUUAUUCAACCCACGAUGAUGAGCGGUAGUGGCUGUCCUGGAGCGUGAAACUGUCGGAUCUCGGCUUCGUCCCUGACGUGUCGAUCUGUACUUGAUGAUCGUAUCCCAUGUGAAGGCCAGACACAUUCUGAGUGGU